RNAcentral lists this long non-coding RNA (539 nucleotides) under Equus caballus (horse). RNAcentral describes it as "lncRNA (ENSECAG00000047490.1)". The record is from RNAcentral. Lineage: Eukaryota; Metazoa; Chordata; Mammalia; Perissodactyla; Equidae.
GGGGACGCCAGGACUCACAGUCUCCUAUUUGCUGCAAAUAUACCUUACAUUUGGCUCAGAGAAGCUCUGCAGUGGGAGUCCUCUUUUCUUUCCCAGGCGCAGGCAAUGGAAGGCUGCACUGCCUAAAGAGAAUUUACAUGAUGAAGCCGACUAGAAGCCCAUCUGCUGUUUAUUGUCACCAUGUGCUGGCAAUUCUAAAUAUGUCAACGCUAAAUGCUCCUCCUCUGCUGUGGCAGACCAUUCUACUGCCGCUCCCUCGAUGAGGUGUUCCUGCUCCUACAUGCUUCUCCAUCUGUGCUUUGGAUCGCAUCCCCUAUCACAUUUUCAAAGACUUGAGGCAUCCAGCAACCUCUUCUCUCUCAAUUGACCCUUUAAAAGGAAGAGUAACACACAAGCAGAGCUCCUCCUAAAACAAAGUGCACUGGGACCAAGAGGCCAGGGAGAGCCAACCCUUCCAGGUCUCUGCUGGUGUGGGAGAUGCAGGAAACGUCUCUGCCUGUGGUGGACGAGCCCCAGGAAGAGAAGAACAAAUCUCCCCC